Molecule: ribosomal RNA, 485 nt
Filed under: uncultured bacterium
Lineage: Bacteria
Description: bacterial SSU rRNA
Rfam family: Bacterial small subunit ribosomal RNA
Source: RNAcentral
AUUGAACGCUGGCGGCAUGCUUUACACAUGCAAGUCGAACGGCAGCGCGGGGGCAACCCUGGCGGCGAGUGGCGAACGGGUGAGUAAUGUAUCGGAACGUAUCCUGUAAUGGGGGAUAACCAGUCGAAAGAUUGGGUAAUACCGCAUACGCACGAGAGUGGAAAGUAGGGGAUCGCAGGACCUUACGUUAUAGGAGCGGCCGAUAUCUGAUUAGCUAGUUGGUGGGGUAAAGGCCUACCAAGGCGACGAUCAGUAGCUGGUCUGAGAGGACGACCAGCCACACUGGGACUGAGACACGGCCCAGACUCCUACGGGAGGCAGCAGUGGGGAAUUUUGGACAAUGGGCGAAAGCCUGAUCCAGCCAUGCCGCGUGCAGGAAGAAGGCCUUCGGGUUGUAAACUGCUUUAGUCUAGGAAAAAGGGGUGCGAGGUUAAUACCCUCGUGCUUUGAUGGUACUGGAAGAAUAAGCACCGGCUAACUACGUG